GGUGUCUCAGUGGUAGAGCACUUGCCUUGCAUGCAGGAGGCCCUGGGUUCAAUUCCUCAGCACCA
This 65-nucleotide transfer RNA is filed under the name Dipodomys ordii (Ord's kangaroo rat). It matches the Rfam family "tRNA". Rfam says of the family: Transfer RNA (tRNA) molecules are approximately 80 nucleotides in length. Their secondary structure includes four short double-helical elements and three loops (D, anti-codon, and T loops). Lineage: Eukaryota; Metazoa; Chordata; Mammalia; Rodentia; Heteromyidae. The record is from Rfam by way of RNAcentral.